GUCUUUUCAUGAGGUUGUAAACCCAGACAGGAAAAGAGUGAAUCUGCAGGGAGGUGACUUAUUUUUAGAGGUUUUCCUUCGAUGGUGGAUUGCUCAAGCUUCCUUGGAUAACAUACAAACAACCAGUUUCCUCCUCUGUGGAAUAAGAUAAUGUUACUAGUCACCAUACAUGUCCUGAGAAGCAUUUGAUCAUAACAAAAUGAAGAGCAGAUCUUACCUUGGUGUGCAGUGAAAGAGAGACCUGGCCUCAACAAGUAUUUUUCAAGUGUACCUGAGUAACAGAACAUUCAGCCACAGAAGGCCAAAAUUAUGCAGAUACGUGUGCACAACCCUUGGGACUUCCAGACUUUUAAGAAACCUUGCAGAAUAUUCCAUCUUAUCUGAAGGAUGUCUGUUGUUGUCAGUCCUGAGCAAAAAACCCCCAAUUUGAAAGCGGUAGCCCAUAAAGAUUCCAAAAUUAGAACAAGUCACAUUUCCUCAUGGGACUUCUGGUGCCAGGAGAUACUGAGCUUUUGCAGCCCCUAGUCUGAAGGUGCCUGCGCCGGUGGAUGACCUGCGCUGUCACACAUGCUAGCUGUCCCUAAAUUUGACAAUGGCAAACUUUAAAAAGCUAAUGCAUGUCCUGCCUCUACCAUCCCACCUCCCCACCAAAUUGCCAUGUAUACAUUUGAAUCUUGCAAAAUAUUGAUGAAUCUUAUUUGUUUAAGAUUUGCUUAAUCCAUAA
Molecule: long non-coding RNA, 724 nt
Organism: Alligator sinensis (Chinese alligator)
Lineage: Eukaryota; Metazoa; Chordata; Crocodylia; Alligatoridae
Exons: 4
Source: RefSeq, a predicted model, not a curated record